AGAGACAGCAGUAGCCACGGUACACGUAGGUGGCAAGCGUUGUCCGGAAUUAUUGGGCGUAAAGCGCGCGCAGGUGGUUUAAUAAGUCUGAUGUGAAAGCCCACGGCUCAACCGUGGAGGGUCAUUGGAAACUGUUAAACUUGAGUGCAGGAGAGAAAAGUGGAAUUCCUAGUGUAGUGGUGAAAUGCGUAGAGAUUAGGAGGAACACCAGUGGCGAAGGCGGCUUUUUGGCCUGUAACUGACACUGAGGCGCGAAAGCGUGGGGAGCAAACAGGAUUAGAUACCCCCGUAGUCCCUGUCUCUUAUACA
This 309-nucleotide ribosomal RNA is filed under the name uncultured bacterium. RNAcentral describes it as "partial 16S ribosomal RNA". It matches the Rfam family "Bacterial small subunit ribosomal RNA", at positions 504 to 808 of the family's 1533-position model. The record is from RNAcentral.